RNAcentral lists this ribosomal RNA (478 nucleotides) under uncultured bacterium. Its description in RNAcentral is "partial 16S ribosomal RNA". It matches the Rfam family "Bacterial small subunit ribosomal RNA", at positions 28 to 523 of the family's 1533-position model. The record is from RNAcentral.
GACGAACGCUGGCGGCGUGCUUAACACAUGCAAGUCGAACGGUAAGGCCCUUCGGGGUACACGAGUGGCGAACGGGUGAGUAACACGUGGGUGACCUGCCCUGCACUUCGGGAUAAGCCUGGGAAACUGGGUCUAAUACCGGAUAGGACCACUGCCUGCAUGGGUGGUGGUGGAAAGCUUUUGCGGUGUGGGAUGGGCCCGCGGCCUAUCAGCUUAUUGGUGGGGUGAUGGCCUACCAAGGCGACGACGGGUAGCCGGCCUGAGAGGGUGACCGGCCACACUGGGACUGAGAUACGGCCCAGACUCCUACGGGAGGCAGCAGUGGGGAAUAUUGCACAAUGGGCGCAAGCCUGAUGCAGCGACGCCGCGUGAGGGAUGACGGCCUUCGGGUUGUAAACCUCUUUCAGCACCGACGAAGCGCAAGUGACGGUAGGUGCAGAAGAAGGACCGGCCAACUACGUGCCAGCCGCCGCAGUAA